AACUCAGUGGUAGAGCACUUGCCUAGAAUGCAAGGGAGUCUGGGUUCAAGCCCCAG
RNAcentral lists this transfer RNA (56 nucleotides) under Heterocephalus glaber (naked mole-rat). It matches the Rfam family "tRNA", at positions 9 to 63 of the family's 71-position model. From Rfam's summary of the family: Transfer RNA (tRNA) molecules are approximately 80 nucleotides in length. The record is from Rfam by way of RNAcentral. Lineage: Eukaryota; Metazoa; Chordata; Mammalia; Rodentia; Bathyergidae.